CGGACGGGUGAGUAACGCGUGGGUAACCUGCCCUGUACAGGGGGAUAACAGUCAGAAAUGACUGCUAAUACCGCAUAAGACCACAGCACCGCAUGGCGCAGGGGUAAAAACUCCGGUGGUACAGGAUGGACCCGCGUCUGAUUAGCUGGUUGGUGAGGUAACGGCUCACCAAGGCGACGAUCAGUAGCCGGCUUGAGAGAGUGAACGGCCACAUUGGGACUGAGACACGGCCCAAACUCCUACGGGAGGCAGCAUG
RNAcentral lists this ribosomal RNA (256 nucleotides) under uncultured bacterium. Its description in RNAcentral is "partial 16S ribosomal RNA". It matches the Rfam family "Bacterial small subunit ribosomal RNA", at positions 99 to 353 of the family's 1533-position model. The record is from RNAcentral.